Molecule: ribosomal RNA, 253 nt
Filed under: uncultured bacterium
Lineage: Bacteria
Description: partial 16S ribosomal RNA
Rfam family: Bacterial small subunit ribosomal RNA
Source: RNAcentral
UACGGAGGGUGCGAGCGUUAAUCGGAAUUACUGGGCGUAAAGCGCGCGUAGGUGGUAAGGUCAGUCGGAUGUGAAAGCCCCGGGCUUAACCUGGGAACUGCAUUCGAUACUGCCUUGCUAGAGUAUGGUAGAGGGAAGUGGAAUUCCGGGUGUAGCGGUGAAAUGCGUAGAUAUCCGGAGGAACACCAGUGGCGAAGGCGACUUCCUGGACCAAUACUGACGCUGAGGUGCGAAAGCGUGGGGAGCAAACAGG